UGGGGCGUAGCCAAGCGGUAAGGCAACGGGUUUUGGUCCCGUGACCCCAGGUUCGAAUCCUGGCGCCCCAGCCA
RNAcentral lists this transfer RNA (74 nucleotides) under Actinomycetota bacterium. RNAcentral describes it as "Actinobacteria bacterium tRNA-Gln". It matches the Rfam family "tRNA". Rfam says of the family: Transfer RNA (tRNA) molecules are approximately 80 nucleotides in length. Their secondary structure includes four short double-helical elements and three loops (D, anti-codon, and T loops). Further hydrogen bonds mediate the characteristic L-shaped molecular structure. tRNAs have two regions of fundamental functional importance: the anti-codon, which is responsible for specific mRNA codon recognition, and the 3' end, to which the tRNAs corresponding amino acid is attached (by aminoacyl-tRNA synthetases). tRNAs cope with the degeneracy of the genetic code in two manners: having more than one tRNA (with a specific anti-codon) for a particular amino acid; and 'wobble' base-pairing, i.e. permitting non-standard base-pairing at the 3rd anti-codon position. Lineage: Bacteria; Bacillati; Actinomycetota. The record is from RNAcentral.